CGCGGCCUAUCAGCUUGUUGGUGAGGUAACGGCUCACCAAGGCAUCGACGGGUAGCUGGUCUGAGAGGACGAUCAGCCACACUGGGACUGAGACACGGCCCAGACUCCUACGGGAGGCAGCAGUGGGGAAUAUUGCGCAAUGGGCGAAAGCCUGACGCAGCAACGCCGCGUGGGGGAUGACGGCUUUCGGGUUGUAAACCCCUUUCAGUGAUGACGAAAAUGACGGUAAUCACAGAAGAAGCCCCGGCCAACUACGUGCCAGCAGCCGCGGUAACACGUAGGGGGCGAGCGUUGUCCGGAUUUAUUGGGCGUAAAGAGCUCGUAGGCGGUUGCGUAAGUCGGAUGUGAAAACUCAGGGCUCAACCCUGAGCAGCCAUUCGAUACUGCGCUGACUAGAGUCCGGUAGGGGAGCAUGGAAUUCCUGGUGUAGCGGUGAAAUGCGCAGAUAUCAGGAGGAACACCAGUAGCGAAGGCGGUGCUCUGGGCCGGUACUGACGCUGAGGAGCGAAAGCAUGGGUAGCAAACAGGAUUAGAUACCCUGGUAGUCCAUGCCGUAAACGUUGGGCACUAGGUGUGGGACCUACUUAACGGGUUCCGUGCCGUAGCUAACGCAUUAAGUGCCCCGCCUGGGGAGUACGG
This 639-nucleotide ribosomal RNA is filed under the name uncultured bacterium. RNAcentral describes it as "bacterial SSU rRNA". It matches the Rfam family "Bacterial small subunit ribosomal RNA", at positions 232 to 885 of the family's 1533-position model. The record is from RNAcentral.